Molecule: long non-coding RNA, 379 nt
Filed under: Mytilus galloprovincialis (Mediterranean mussel)
Lineage: Eukaryota; Metazoa; Mollusca; Bivalvia; Mytilida; Mytilidae
Source: RNAcentral
UGAGCACAAACAACUGAUAAGUGGCCUGGACUGGACAAGUCAAACCAUUCAUGUGACCAUGCUAUGACAAUCACAUCCAGUUAAAAAAAAAAAAAAAAAGAACCGGCCUUCCUGGUCUGUUUACAAAGGUUAGACCCGGGGGAGGGGAAACAGACAUUCUUUUAAAUGUGGCCCUGGCAUUUGUCGUCGUCUUCAUCCGUCGUCGUUAACUUUUACAAAAAUCUUCUCCUAUAAAACUACUUGUCCAAAUUUAACCAAAUUUGGCCACAAUCCUCAUUGGGGUAUCUAGUUUAAAAAAUGUGUCCGGUGACCCGACCAACCAACCAAGAUGGCCGCCAUGGCUUAAGAUAGAACAUAGGGCUAAAAUGUAGAUUUUGGC